ACCCUCUCAGGGUCACACCUAGAGAGUUUCCGGUACUCUACAAGUCUUGACUACGGGAGGGAGAGUCAAGCAGAGGCCUAACCAUUCCAUUCCUAGAGUGGCCAGUGGCUAGCGAGUGGAAGGCAAUCUGCUACAAGU
This is a non-coding RNA of Ornithorhynchus anatinus (platypus), 138 nucleotides long. The record is from Rfam. NCBI's taxonomy places the organism in Eukaryota, Metazoa, Chordata, Mammalia, Monotremata, Ornithorhynchidae.